GUCAGGGUGGCCGAGCGGUCCAAGGCGCCAGACUUAAGUUCUGGUCUCCUGUUGGAGGCGUGGGUUCAAAUCCCACCCCUGGGGGGACG
Betta splendens (Siamese fighting fish) is the source of this 89-nucleotide non-coding RNA. Lineage: Eukaryota; Metazoa; Chordata; Actinopteri; Anabantiformes; Osphronemidae. The record is from the annotation of a RefSeq genome assembly.